This 441-nucleotide ribosomal RNA is filed under the name uncultured bacterium. Its description in RNAcentral is "partial 16S ribosomal RNA". It matches the Rfam family "Bacterial small subunit ribosomal RNA", at positions 338 to 795 of the family's 1533-position model. The record is from RNAcentral.
CCUACGGGUGACAGCAGUGGGGAAUAUUGCACAAUGGGGGAAACCCUGAUGCAGCAACGCCGCGUGGGUGAAGGAGCGUCUCGGCGCGUAAAGCCCUGUCAGCGGGGAAGAAGAAAGACGGUACCCGACCAAGAAGCCCCUGCUAACUACGUGCCAGCAGCCGCGGUAAUCCGUAGGGGGCGCGCGUUUUCCGGAAUUACUGGGGUUAAAGGGAUCGGAUACGGGGAGGUAAGGCGGAAGUGGAAGCCGGCGGCCCAACCACGGAACCGCUUUUGAAACUGGUUGGCUGGAGUAGGGGAGGGGUAGGCGGAAUGCGUGGUGUAGCGGUGAAAUGCAUAGAUAUCAGGAGGAACCCCGGUUGCGAAGGCGGCUUACUGGACCAUAACUGACGUUGAGGCUCGAAAGCGUGGGGAGCGAACAGGAUUAGAUACCCUGGUAGUC